RNAcentral lists this transfer RNA (74 nucleotides) under Escherichia coli. RNAcentral describes it as "tRNA-Ile". It matches the Rfam family "tRNA". Rfam says of the family: Transfer RNA (tRNA) molecules are approximately 80 nucleotides in length. Their secondary structure includes four short double-helical elements and three loops (D, anti-codon, and T loops). Lineage: Bacteria; Pseudomonadati; Pseudomonadota; Gammaproteobacteria; Enterobacterales; Enterobacteriaceae. The record is from RNAcentral. RNAcentral also lists the same sequence under 1 other name.
GGACCUUUAGCUCAGUUGGUUAGAGCAGACGGCUCAUAACCGUCCAGUCGUAGGUUCGAGUCCUACAAGGUCCA